This 375-nucleotide ribosomal RNA is filed under the name Bacteroidota bacterium. RNAcentral describes it as "Bacteroidetes bacterium (grounwater metagenome) partial 23S ribosomal RNA". It matches the Rfam family "Bacterial large subunit ribosomal RNA", at positions 2537 to 2925 of the family's 2925-position model. Lineage: Bacteria; Pseudomonadati; Bacteroidota. The record is from RNAcentral.
UCGUCACAUCCUGGGGCUGGAGAAGGUCCCAAGGGUUGGGCUGUUCGCCCAUUAAAGUGGCACGCGAGCUGGGUUCAGAACGUCGUGAGACAGUUCGGUCCCUAUCUGUUGUGGGCGUUGGAAAAUUGAGAGGAUCUGACCUUAGUACGAGAGGACCGGGUCGGACGCACCUCUGGUGUAUCUGUUGUGGCGCCAGCUGCAUCGCAGAGUAGCUAUGUGCGGAAUAGAUAAGCGCUGAAAGCAUCUAAGCGCGAAACUAGCCUCGAGAUGAGUUUUCCUUUAAGGGUCGUAGUAGACGACUACGUUGAUAGGCUACAGGUGUACAGGCAGUAAUGUCUUAGCCGAGUAGUACUAAUUACCCGUAAACUUACUAUU